Molecule: long non-coding RNA, 331 nt
Filed under: Micromonas commoda
Lineage: Eukaryota; Viridiplantae; Chlorophyta; Mamiellophyceae; Mamiellales; Mamiellaceae
Description: long non-coding RNA (MCOM_LNC000094)
Source: RNAcentral
CAUGCAUCCGGUUUAGACCGCACGUUGCAUAACUUAAAAAAUGGGUUUCUCCAAGGAGUCUUGCGAGGUUGCCAUCGCGGCCUCCUCUCGACGCACGACUAUUCGAAGCUGAUGGUCUGUGAGACUUUGGACGACGUGAAAACUUUAUUGGUAACAUGCAGAUGGGGUAGAUACGUGUUUGUUUCAUAGACUACCUGAACCUUGAUGUUUUGCAGUGCAGCACUGAUUAUCGUGCACUUAUACAAGACUUGCCAUCCCCCCUCCACUCUUCAACAAUUGUCUCUACGUGCACACAGAAAAUGGUGAACGAUUUCAACAUAUUUCGCUCACA